Mastomys coucha (southern multimammate mouse) is the source of this 903-nucleotide RNA transcript. It is a transcript of the gene named protease-associated domain-containing protein 1 pseudogene, with no coding region annotated. NCBI's taxonomy places the organism in Eukaryota, Metazoa, Chordata, Mammalia, Rodentia, Muridae. The transcript has a single exon. The record is from RefSeq and is a predicted model, not a curated record.
AUGUGCGUUUGGGCCCAUGGCUUAUGCAUCCAUGACUACUUAUACUUCCAAGUGCUGAGUCUUGGGGAUAUUCGAUACAUCUUCACAGCCACACCUGCCAAGGACUUUGGUGGGAUAUUUCACACACGGUAUGAGCAGAUUCACCUCGUCUCUGCUGAACCUCCAGAGGCCUGCGGGGAACUCAGCAACGGCUUCUUUAUCCAGGACCAGAUCGCUCUGGUGGAAAGGGUGGGCUGCUCCUUCCUCUCUAAGACCAGGGUGGUACAGGAGCAUGGUGGGCGGGCUGUGAUCAUCUCGGACAAUGCAGUUGACAAUGACAAUUUCUAUGUGGAGAUGAUCCAGGAUAGUACUCAACGCACAGCUGACAUUCCUGCCCUCUUCCUGCUCGGCCGAGAUGGCUACAUGAUCCGACGUUCUCUGGAACAGCAUGGGCUACCAUAGGCCAUCAUCUCUAUCCCAGUAAAUGUCACCAGUAUCUUUGAGCUGCUGCAACCUCUGGGGACUUUCUGGUAGAAAAAAAGGUGACACCAGGUUCCAGUGACAAGUGACUCGUGGGAAGAGGAAACCCAAGAUUCUGCUAUUUGGAGUUUGGAGAUAGAUUCUGAGGACAAGUGAGCCAGGGAGAGGACAGGGAAGCCGUACUUCGGGCUUUCCCUACCCUAGGGCCGGCAAGGACAUCUCGUGCUUCAGGAAGAGGCUUCUGUCUAGAAUUUGAACAAAAGGUGCUGAAGGCAGGUGGCCCUGACACUUACCACUUGUUUCAGCUCCCAGCAGCCAGCACCUCCUCACAAUGAGCUUUGUAGCUGUUGCUGAAGUGGUUUAAAGAAGUGAUAUUUGGGAACUAAUAAACCCCUACUUUUAGUAAUAAAACCAAAUAAAGCUCAUCAGGUUUGUGCCUGUGUC